Molecule: non-coding RNA, 173 nt
Filed under: human gut metagenome
Description: Lysine riboswitch
Rfam family: Lysine riboswitch aptamer
About the family: Riboswitches are metabolite binding domains within certain messenger RNAs that serve as precision sensors for their corresponding targets. Allosteric rearrangement of mRNA structure is mediated by ligand binding, and this results in modulation of gene expression.
Source: RNAcentral
AUGAUAGAGGUGCGUUUUCCAUCAGUAGCGUGCGCGUGAGGCCGGCGGCGGCCGUAAGGAACGGGCGUGAAAGGGGCAAACGCCGAAGGCAGGGCGGGGCCGUGCAGCGCUGUGCCUGGACGUAUGGUUAAGAGCCAUAGGUCUGUCACCGUAUAUGGUGGAGCGCUAUCUGU